This 207-nucleotide ribosomal RNA is filed under the name uncultured bacterium. RNAcentral describes it as "partial 16S ribosomal RNA". It matches the Rfam family "Bacterial small subunit ribosomal RNA", at positions 568 to 774 of the family's 1533-position model. The record is from RNAcentral.
CACGUAGGCGGUUUAUAAAGUUGGAUGUGAAAUCUUCGGGCUUAACCUGGAGCGUGCAUUCAAGACUCAUAAACUAGAGGGCAGUAGAGGAGAGUGGAAUUUCCGGUGUAGCGGUAAAAUGCGUAGAGAUCGGAAAGAACACCAGUGGCGAAGGCGACUCUCUGGACUGUUCACUGACGCUGAGGUGCGAAAGCGUGGGAGCAAACA